Molecule: long non-coding RNA, 397 nt
Organism: Aphidius gifuensis
Lineage: Eukaryota; Metazoa; Arthropoda; Insecta; Hymenoptera; Braconidae
Exons: 3
Source: RefSeq, a predicted model, not a curated record
AUUUUCAUGUCUCAUUGUACAGCAUACAAAAAAAUCCUAAAAAAUGUAUUUUUUUAUCAGCAAAUGGUGGUUUUUCCAAGACAACAGAGCCAAUCAUUCAUAGCUACAAGCCAAUAAUUAAUUUCGAGUUUGAAAAUAUUAGCAGUCUUACUGAGUGUGAAUUUACAAUUGAUAAAUCAUCUGAGUAUGGAGCAAAGCAGCUCGCAAUAGAUUAUGGAAAUUUUAAAAUUAAUCGAACAAUAAUAUUGCAGAAAAAUGUAGUAAAAAUUGAAAAAUAUAAUGAGCUACCAAAAAAGUGGGGUACAAAUGAUUAUGUUGUAAAAUAUAAUGAUGAAUUUUGGGUAAAUUGUUCACACAAUAAACCGCUGAUAUUUUGUAGAAUUCAAAAAGCAAAUGA